This 2157-nucleotide long non-coding RNA is filed under the name Homo sapiens (human). RNAcentral describes it as "HSALNT0385399". Lineage: Eukaryota; Metazoa; Chordata; Mammalia; Primates; Hominidae. The record is from RNAcentral.
GCACAAUCUCGGGAGACGCCGGGCUGCGGCGACCCAAAGACGGCUCCGGCCAUGGCAGAGGUCGCUCUGCGGGGUCGGGAGGGGACCGGACGCGCGGGGUCCCGGCUGCCGGCCCGGCCGCCAUCUUGCGGCGGAGGGGACCAAGGGCCGAGUUGCGUCCGCGGGGACUCAGGGCCCAGACCCCGAAGCUAACCUCAAAGAGGGUUCCCGCCGCUUCCGACCGCCCCUCUCCCUCUUCUGGGGACCCCCGACCUGGCACAUUCACCAUUUCCCAGCUUCCGGGAUGUCCUGGCGUCUGAGCUACGGAUCUCCCGGUGCCUGCCGGUCACAGAGUAACAGAGGUUCUGUCUAUUCUCAGAACGCGAAGCCGCCUUGGCCUCCCAGAUGGAAGGACUGGGAGCCCCUGGUGAAGAGACUGAGCUCUUACUGCAGCCAACAAAGGCCACCGCCAAAUCCCGGAAGCCGCCCCUGCUCUCCGGCUACUCCCGAUUGGAGGAUUUCCACUCCGACGCCACUGAUUGGGUAAAGCUCCAGGCCCCGCCCUCUCACUCGUUCUGCUUUUUGAAUGGGAGACAGGCUCAUUGAGGUGGGGCCACCUGCUGAGGGUAUUACAGCUAAUUUAAGGGGUGAGCUUGGACUUGAAAUGCACUUGCUUUCCCGUACCUGGUUUUGCUUGUAUAAGGCAUCUUAUUAGCUAAUUAAGUUUAAGAAGGAGGGCAUUUGGGCACCUUUAAAACAACUUUUUAACCGUUCUAAUAACACAGGAAAGACCCUCAUCCCAUCCUUAGCACCUCUCAUCACACGGUACCCCACUGCUCAGGACAUAACUGUGGGACUGCAGAGGAAACUGCUGGGGUUUUUGGGGAGCAUGCAGGAGGCUUCAACAGCCAAGGUAACGGUGGCUUCCCUUGGGUGUCACUUAAAAUCUUGGGGUCAGGGACAUCUUUUAUCCAGUUGGCUCAGGGAAACUAACAGACAGGAGGAUUGUAAUUUUUUUUUUCUUUUCUGAAUUUCCAAGACAUAAAGGACUAUCCAAGCAUCCCAAAAGGCAUUCAAUUAUACAUAAGGCUGAGGGCCUCCCUGCUCUGGAGAGGGAUGGCCUGGCAGCCACCAGCUGCAGUGAGCUGAGAUAGUGCCACUGCAAUGGGCCUUAAACUUGCCCUCUUGUAGACAGGCCACCUCCACACACCCGCUUCUCACAUCGCAGGCUCUAACCCUCCGGUCCAUCAAGGUGGGCUGCCUUCUUCCCAUGUCAUUAGCUCUCCACAAGCAUCUAGUUAGCUCUAAAACCUACCACAGGAUAGCAAACGUCAGACCCUCCUCCACUCUCCCGGCACUGCACGCCUUCUGGGGAGUGCUGCCAAUCCCACCUCAACUGAAGGGACAAAUCUGGGCAGGUGCCCAGUCAGAUGUUCAGUGACCUAACAGGUCCAGCAUGCCCAGGGCCUGACCCCACAGCCUAGCACCCCUCCCCCACCUGGCCUUCAAUCCAGCCUUUCUUCUCCAAUGACGGGAUGUUCACCUGUGCCACAAUCCCAUUAGUCUAGUGACGAGGCCAGGUAAAUCCCAGCUGAGUGCCUGUGACUCCACCCUCUUACUUCCCACUCAGGUGACAUUACAAGCAUAACCUUGAAUUUGAGCUAAUUUAUACAUAUUCCUCUCCUAGUAACCUGUUUGACAACAGCCCUCACAAUCCAGAGACUGGGGCAGCAGGUUCCAAAACCUCACUUUAUUCCAAUGUGAAAUGAAGACAUGAUGGUUUAAAAAUGAGAAAAAGUUCCUGAUAAGCUGUGGGGGUGCUUCACUUGCCAGCUCAUGCCCAUUCCCUCUGAAACAAGGUGUCUGUUACCCAUAAACAACUCUCUGUAAAGCCCCAGGUAGAGGUCACAGCUGGACGUGGCUCCCUCAGGCUCACAGGGUAGCAAUCUCCUCCCCCAGUCCAGGCUUCCACAGCAGGCACUUGAGGAUCUCGGAGCUUUCCUUCUCGUGGUUCUCACCAAAAAACAGGGGAGAGAGCACAGGCAGGAAAGGAUUAGCUGCCCACAGCCUACAGGCGCAGCUCAACCCACCGGCCCUGCCACAGCCCACCUGGGCCUUAUAGAUGUUGUCAAAUUCCUUCUUCUGCUACAAGCCGGACCAGAACUCAGCUUUGCUCUC